CCCACCUAGCCAACGAUGGAUAGGGGUUCUGAGAGGAAGGUCCCCCGCAUUGGAACUGAGACACGGUCCAAACUCCUACGGGAGGCAGCAGUGAGGAAUAUCGGUCAAUGGACGAGAGUCUGAACCAGCCAAGUAGCGUGAAGGAUGAAGGUCCUACGGAUUGUAAACUUCUUUUAUAAGGGAAUAAACCCUCCCACGUGUGGGAGCUUGUAUGUACCUUAUGAAUAAGCAUCGGCUAACUCCGUGCCAGCAGCCGCGGUAAUACGGAGGAUGCGAGCGUUAUCCGGAUUUAUUGGGUUUAAAGGGAGCGCAGACGGGUCGUUAAGUCAGCUGUGAAAGUUUGGGGCUCAACCUUAAAAUUGCAGUUGAUACUGGCGUCCUUGAGUGCGGUUGAGGUGUGCGGAAUUCGUGGUGUAGCGGUGAAAUGCUUAGAUAUCACGAAGAACUCCGAUUGCGAAGGCAGCACACUAAUCCGUAACUGACGUUCAUGCUCGAAAGUGUGGGUAUCAAACAGGAUUAGAUACCCUGGUAGUCCACACGGUAAACGAUGGAUACUCGCUGUUGGCGAUAUACUGUCAGCGGCUUAGCGAAAGCGUUAAGUAUCCCACCUGGGGAGUACGCCGGCAACGGUGCAACUCAAAUGAAUUGACGG
RNAcentral lists this ribosomal RNA (652 nucleotides) under uncultured Bacteroidota bacterium. RNAcentral describes it as "bacterial SSU rRNA". It matches the Rfam family "Bacterial small subunit ribosomal RNA", at positions 264 to 916 of the family's 1533-position model. The record is from RNAcentral. Lineage: Bacteria; Pseudomonadati; Bacteroidota.